UACGUAGGGCGCAAGCGUUGUCCGGAAUUAUUGGGCGUAAAGAGCUCGUAGGCGGCUUGUCACGUCGGGUGUGAAAGCCCGGGGCUUAACUCAGGGCUUGCUUUCGAUACGGGCAGACUAGAGGUAUGCAGGGGAGAACGGAAUUCCUGGUGUAGCGGUGAAAUGCGCAGAUAUCAGGAGGAACACCGGUGGCGAAGGCGGUUCUCUGGGCAUGAUCUGACGCUGAGGAGCGAAAGUGUGGGGAGCGAACAGG
This 253-nucleotide ribosomal RNA is filed under the name uncultured bacterium. RNAcentral's name for it is "partial 16S ribosomal RNA". It matches the Rfam family "Bacterial small subunit ribosomal RNA", at positions 524 to 776 of the family's 1533-position model. The record is from RNAcentral.